This 2230-nucleotide long non-coding RNA is filed under the name Salvia miltiorrhiza (redroot sage). Its description in RNAcentral is "long non-coding RNA (SMIL_LNC000825)". Lineage: Eukaryota; Viridiplantae; Streptophyta; Magnoliopsida; Lamiales; Lamiaceae. The record is from RNAcentral.
AAAAAUCUCCUUUUUGUGUUCUCUCAAAUCUUCUAAUUCAUGCUUCAUCCUAAAUCUAAUUUCAGGAUUAGUUAUCUAAAUCUCUUAAUAAUCUCCAUUUUUGAAAAACAUAUCAGCCGAGCGUUUCUUUUCCAAAAAUCUCCAUCUUCCCCAAAAAUCUUCUCGACAAUUCAUACAAUCAGCCGAGCGUUUCUUUUCCCAAAUUGAGAACUGCAAAUUGAGAGAGAAAAAAAGAAAGAAAAGGCAGAUAACUUUUAAGGCAGGUGCUUCAUCCAUGGCUGCAAACUUCUCUUGCCCACAAAUUGGGUCCUUCCCUCCCUUCUUUCGUUUAUCUAUUUUCUGCGUCUCCACAUCAGACUUUUCCUCCCGGCACUGCGAUUCGCCGCACUCCAUUGAAGAACGAUUCCUAAUCUGGUGGAUCUACUCCGAUUGUGGAUUUUUGAGGUAAACCCUAAUCAGGUGGAUCUACUCCGAUUGAGGAUUUUUAAGGUAAAUUGCCUCAUCGAGUGAAGUUCUUUAAUUGAUAUUUGUGUUGUUUGCGCGUGUCUUUUAAUUUCUAUAUUUUGUUUAACUGAAGCGACGACGAUGGCAACUUCUAGAAGCGCAUUAGCAGCAGUUCGGCUGAGUAGAUCGGCAGCAUCAGCCUUUCGGGCAUCCGGCGCUGGUCACACUCCAUCCGCCGCCCUCCAAUCGACCCGCCCCCGAUCUCGCUGCUCCUAUCGCGCUCCCGUGCCCUAAUGUCCCCCGGUGGCAGCAACAUAUCUUUUGUCACUCUUUUCUCUGCGUCAUGCCUCAAUCGCGUAGCAUCCUGCCCUACUCUAACUCUUCUUCGCAGGUGCGUCGAUUUUGCUGGUUAUUGAUUUCAUUUUUUCCUAUGACGUAGAAACUGAAAAAAAAAAAUACAGAAGUCUGCUAUCAAUUUCUUUCAAGGCCCUUACUUAUGCAUAUCGACUCUUUGGAUUUCAUCAGGUUAAAGUUGCCUUGAUUGACAUGAUGCUGGAAGCACUGGUCUUAACUUAACGUCAGCAGAAUUGAAAGUCAAAGUGUGUCUUAAUCUUCAUGGUAUUGUGUCUGUUGAAUUAGCAACGGUAAGCUCUCAGCUCUAUUGAUGAAUUUUAUUUCUUAUGCUUACUGCUGCGUAGUGGGGGUUUUUAGCAAAUUACUCGAAGUACCAAGCUUAUUAAAAGUCUUCUUCAUUUUUGGUGUCUUUUAUUACCAAUUUAUUCGCUAUUUUUAAAAGUGAGAUGUAUCAUGUAUAUAACUGCAGUAUAACAGUCAGCUGAGGCAACAAACAUAUUAGUCGCUAUCCAUAAUCAAGCUCAGACACAGAAAACUAAGACAUUCCAUAACCAGAGUUAGAGAUAAUGCAUUCAUCCUUGAAAUAAUUUAAUGAGGCUGAGAAAUUUUCGGGACCUUUCUGCAAUUUGAGUUUCGUCAAAAAACUAACAUAUAUAAGAUAGUAGAAAAGAUUAAUAACAGGUAUAUCAGAUUUUUCAUCCAAUGGAGAUGGUUUGGCCAAUAAACUGUAGGUUGUAUAAGAUAAUAACUAGAUCUUAAUUAUCACCAUAAAAGAUAGAUAUUAAGAAAAUGCCAAAUUGCUAAAAUGUUAGUUCUAUUGGUAAAAAAGAAAGUUGUCUCUGGGUGCUAGAACUUAUUUAUGUGUUUAUGGAAUUGCACUAUCGUAGCGUAAUUUGAUGAUUGUAUCAGAGUUUUAUGCAUGUAUCUAUUCUUAAGGAAAAUUCUUAUUGGUAUAUAUUUUCUCGAGCAAGACUGUAAACAUACAUGUUAUAUUUGAAUUUUAAUUUUUUAUCUACGUAUUUGUGCUUCUGCUGCUGUGUGGUGGCACUGGCUUUCUUCGUGUGGAUUAUUUCAAUUUUUUUUUUUNUCUGUUUUGAAUUUUGGAAUUGCUGUGAGGAUUUUAUAAUAUUGCUUUCAGAUGAUGGUGAAAGGCUAUUUGUUAUUGCUAAGUAUGAUGGUGAUCCAUAUUCUGAUUGAUGAUGAGAUCCCACACACGGGAAUCGGCCUAAUAUUACUUUCUGAAGCAUUUUGGUGCAUCAAUGUUCAUUUAGAUAUACUAUAUGAUGUUUUCUAUGAUCAUGGAUGGGUGUUUCAGUGUAUUAUUUGACACAGGUUACACAUUUUGCUAUUAAUAUUGCUUCUAAUCCACUAUUAUAUGAUAUAAAUACUUGUCUAAAUAGUUUACAUGUCUUUUGCUUGGAUAGUUAUUCAU